This 500-nucleotide ribosomal RNA is filed under the name uncultured bacterium. Its description in RNAcentral is "partial 16S ribosomal RNA". It matches the Rfam family "Bacterial small subunit ribosomal RNA", at positions 30 to 523 of the family's 1533-position model. The record is from RNAcentral.
AUUGAACGCUGGCGGCAGGCCUAACACAUGCAAGUCGAGCGGAUGACGGGAGCUUGCUCCUUGAUUCAGCGGCGGACGGGUGAGUAAUGCCUAGGAAUCUGCCUGGUAGUGGGGGACAACGUUUCGAAAGGAACGCUAAUACCGCAUACGUCCUACGGGAGAAAGCAGGGGACCUUCGGGCCUUGCGCUAUCAGAUGAGCCUAGGUCGGAUUAGCUAGUUGGUGGGGUAAUGGCUCACCAAGGCGACGAUCCGUAACUGGUCUGAGAGGAUGAUCAGUCACACUGGGACUGAGACACGGUCCAGACUCCUACGGGAUGCAGCAGUGGGGAAUAUUGGACAAUGGGCGAAAGCCUGAUCCAGCCAUGCCGCGUGUGUGAAGAAGGUCUUCGGAUUGUAAAGCACUUUAAGUUGGGAGGAAGGGCAGUAAGUUAAUACCUUGCUGUUUUGACGUUACCGACAGAAUAAGCACCGGCUAACUCUGUGCCAGCCGCCGCUGUAA